Molecule: microRNA precursor, 65 nt
Filed under: Echinops telfairi (small Madagascar hedgehog)
Lineage: Eukaryota; Metazoa; Chordata; Mammalia; Afrosoricida; Tenrecidae
Description: miRNA (ENSETEG00000023825.1)
Source: RNAcentral
GUGAUGGUGUGUGUGUGUGUGUGUGUGUGUGUGUGUGCGCGCGCGCGGUCAAGCUCUAGCACCAC